GUGGGGAAUAUUGGGCAAUGGACGCAAGUCUGACCCAGCAACGCCGCGUGAAGGAAGAAGGCUUUCGGGUUGUAAACUUCUUUUAAGGGGGAACAGUAGAAGAGGGUACCCCUUGAAUAAGCCACGGCUAACUACGUGCCAGCAGCCGCGGUAAUACGUAGGUGGCAAGCGUUGUCCGGAUUUACUGGGUGUAAAGGGCGUGCAGCCGGAGAGACAAGUCAGAUGUGAAAUCCGCGGGCUUAACCCGCGAACUGCAUUUGAAACUGUUUCCCUUGAGUAUCGGAGAGGUAAUCGGAAUUCCUAGUGUAGCGGUGAAAUGCGUAGAUAUUAGGAAGAACACCAGUGGCGAAGGCGGAUUACUGGACGACAACUGACGGUGAGGCGCGAAAGCGUGGGGAGCAAACAGGAUUAGAAACCCUAGUAGUCC
This 427-nucleotide ribosomal RNA is filed under the name uncultured bacterium. RNAcentral describes it as "bacterial SSU rRNA". It matches the Rfam family "Bacterial small subunit ribosomal RNA", at positions 354 to 796 of the family's 1533-position model. The record is from RNAcentral.